This 96-nucleotide ribosomal RNA is filed under the name uncultured euryarchaeote. Its description in RNAcentral is "partial 16S ribosomal RNA". It matches the Rfam family "Archaeal small subunit ribosomal RNA", at positions 319 to 416 of the family's 1478-position model. The record is from RNAcentral. Lineage: Archaea; Methanobacteriati; Methanobacteriota.
GGCCUACGGGGCGCAGCAGGCGCGAAAACUUCACAAUGUGGGAAACCACGAUGAGGGAAUUCCAAGUGCUUAUGCAAUGCAUAAUGCUGUUCAGAU